GCCGCACACGGUGGCCCAUGCCUGUAGUCCCAGCUACUCAGGAGGCUGAGGUGGGAGGAUCACUCGAGCCCAGGAGUUCUGGGCUGCAGUGCGCUAUGCUAAUGAAGUGUCUGCACUAAGUUCAGCAUCAAUAUGGUGGUCUUCCAGGAGCAGGGGACCACCAGGUUGCCUAAGGAGGGGUUAACCAGCCCAGGUUGGAAACGGAGCAGGUCAAAACUCCCAUGCUGAUCAGUAGUGGGAUCGUGUCUGUGAAUAGACACUGCACUUCAGCCUGGGCAACAUAGUAAGACCCCGUCUCU
Molecule: signal recognition particle RNA, 299 nt
Filed under: Saimiri boliviensis boliviensis (Bolivian squirrel monkey)
Lineage: Eukaryota; Metazoa; Chordata; Mammalia; Primates; Cebidae
Description: Metazoan signal recognition particle RNA (ENSSBOG00000007587.1)
Rfam family: Metazoan signal recognition particle RNA
About the family: The signal recognition particle (SRP) is a universally conserved ribonucleoprotein.
Source: RNAcentral